RNAcentral lists this ribosomal RNA (472 nucleotides) under uncultured bacterium. RNAcentral's name for it is "partial 16S ribosomal RNA". It matches the Rfam family "Bacterial small subunit ribosomal RNA", at positions 29 to 506 of the family's 1533-position model. The record is from RNAcentral.
GUGAACGCUGGCGGUGUGUCUAAUACAUGCAAGUCGAGCGCCCCUCACUUUGUUUUCGAUCAAGGUUUUUUGCGAUCGAAGAUAGGGUGAGGGGAGCGGCGAACGGGUGAGGAACACGUUGGUAGCUACUCCAGACUCAGGGAUAACCCCGCGAAAGCGGGGCUAAUACCGGAUGGUCCUGUAAAGGUAAAGCUUUUGCGGUCUGGAAGGCGCCUGCGUCCUAUCAGCUAGUUGGUGAGGUAAUGGCUCACCAAGGCUAUGACGGGUAGCUGGUCUGAGAGGAUGACCAGCCACAGGGGAACUGAGACACGGUCCCCACUCCUACGGGAGGCGGCAGUAAAGAAUCUUCCGCAAUGGGCGAAAGCCUGACGGAGCGACACCGCGUGAUUGAUGAAGCCCUUCGGGGUGUAAAGAUCUUUUCUGGGGGAAGAAUUCUGACGGUACCCUAGGAAUAAGCACCGGCUAAACUCGU